UUAGGUGGGCGCGAAACAUUUUCUUUUUCCUAGGGGGGGCCUGGCAAAAAAUAAUUGAGAAGCAACUUGAAGAACUGUUUGGGAGCUGAAAGAGAGGGGUCAUUUUAGGGAGUGGAUAAAAAAAGCCAGUUGUCUAUAAAAAGCUGAAUUUUUCAUCAAUACAUAACAUCAUCAUUUAGUCUGGCCUUCCAUUGGCCAGAAGGCCACCCGUCAAAAUUGCAGUCGUGGGAGUUUUAAAGCUUGCAGACUUCUGGGAGACCUGAUGGUUCACUAAAGAUUCACACUCCACAGCAGUAGGGGGCAGUAGCGGACGUUUGCGCUGGUUGGUACGCACGUGUACGCCUCAUCUGAUCUGAUCAAGAACUUUCGGCUAACGAUCCUCGAGCGGAAUAAUUUCUUCUGCAGCCAGAUUCUCUAGCGGAAAGGAAUUAAUGCAAAACGUAUCACCUGACUGUGGACCAGGUAAGAACCAUCAUUUUAAGUAAUGUGUGUUUCUUUUCACUUUCGCGUACUUUCGCCGCCUCUCUUUCGAACUAGCUCGUCCGCUUUUCAUUGCGCUCGACCGCCGGCUUACAUCUUUGCAUUGACUUUCGUUUUGUGGUGUGAAUUGCUUGGUUUAAUGUCGUAUCACCUGACUGUGGACCAGGAGAUGGCAGCACAGAGGCCACAGAGGGCUAGAAGAAAUCCCAGACAAGAUGCUUUGUAUUAUUGCUCCUUGGGUGAAGAUAAGGAAGGAUUUGAUAUUAGAUACAUUGAUUCAUUUAAAGGUCGAGGUGUGUUCAGCUCCCGGCCCUUUCAAAAGGGAGAUUUCCUUCUUGAAUACAGAGGACAGCUCAUAUCAAAAAAGGAACAAGAAAGCAGACUGAAAGUUUACCAUGACGCCCUGAAGGUUUUUAUGUUUGAUUUCCAGUUCAAUGGAAAGUUGUUAUGGUAUGUAUCUUCUUUUUUAAUGGUAAUGUCAUCUCUACUCUCUUACUGGUAAAAAGUAGUUUUAGUGAUGAAAUACAGUCUAAGACAAGGUUAAACAUUUGUAAUGUUCCAUGGAAGUUUUAGGUUGUAGCAGGAAUGUUAUUUCGUCUUAAAUACUCAAUGUGCUCAAUAACUUCCCUAUGUAGCAUAACUUAUUGUCUGCUUCA
Molecule: non-coding RNA, 1136 nt
Organism: Oryzias latipes (Japanese medaka)
Lineage: Eukaryota; Metazoa; Chordata; Actinopteri; Beloniformes; Adrianichthyidae
Source: RefSeq, a predicted model, not a curated record